This is an RNA transcript of Quercus robur (English oak), 3857 nucleotides long. It is a transcript of the gene named phospholipase SGR2, with no coding region annotated. The record is from RefSeq and is a predicted model, not a curated record. The transcript has 22 exons. NCBI's taxonomy places the organism in Eukaryota, Viridiplantae, Streptophyta, Magnoliopsida, Fagales, Fagaceae.
CCAUUUCGAAGUGGUGGUUGUUUAUUUCCUACCUGACAUUCAACACCAAGCUGUCAUUCAUUCUUCAAUCUCAAAGCAAUUCUUCCUUUCGUCUGGGUUCUGGGUUUUUCUAAAAAAGACCUUUACUUUCAAUCUCGGUUCUCCAAAUUCCCUUCUAUUCCUUACCCAAAAUCAUUGCUUUUUUCGAGUUUUACUUUCUUCCAUUUACAAUUCUCUUCCAUACCCUCUUUUUUCUUUGUGGGGUUCCUCUAAUUCUCACAAAAUUUAGUCCAAGAUUGGAUUUUGGCCAUUUUGAAAACCACCCAUUUGAUAAAUUGCCUAAGAGAAUGCAUGUUCUUGGUUUAGAAUGGUUUUGAUGGUUGUUUUUGUGGCAAACUCAGUUGGGAGUUCAUAGGAGAAGACCCUUUUGGAUAUUUUUGACCAAUUUUGCGUUUCAACACCUAGAGUAGUUGCUUUGUAAUCAUGGCGAGUUCUGAGGCACACCCUGAUUUGUUGAGGAAUACCCCAUCAAAUAUUAAGAGGUUGGAGGUUGAGAUUGAACACAGUAAGGGCAGGCAGAAGUAUCUUGCGCAGACUAGGAGUCCUUCCGAUGGAGGUGAUGUUCGGUGGUACUUUUGCAAGGUCCCUUUGGCUGAGAAUGAGCUAGCUGCCUCAGUCCCUCGCACUGAGAUAGUGGGCAAGAGCGAUUAUUUUCGUUUUGGGAUGAGGGAUUCUCUUGCGAUAGAAGCAUCUUUCUUGCAGCAAGAAGAAGACUUGCUCUCUAGUUGGUGGAAAGAAUAUGCAGAAUGUAGUGAAGGUCCAAGAGGACGACCCAGCUCUAGUAAGGUGGAUAAGCAACAAAGUGGAUCUUCUUCGGGGGGUGCUCGAUCAGCCCAACUAUAUGAAGUUGAAGAAGAGAGAGUUGGUGUCCCUGUAAAGGGAGGACUCUAUGAGGUAGAUUUAGUGAAAAGACAUUGUUUCCCUGUUUAUUGGAAUGGAGAAGAUCGGCGUGUUUUAAGAGGUCAUUGGUUUGCCCGUAAAGGGGGCCUUGAUUGGCUUCCACUUCGUGAAGACGUAGCUGAACAACUAGAGAUUGCAUAUCGUAGCCAGGUUUGGCACCGUCGAACAUUUCAACCAUCGGGUCUUUUUGCAGCUCGAGUUGAUUUGCAAGGCUCUACCCCAUGGUUGCAUGCACUUUUUACUGGAGAAGAUGAUACUUGGGAGGCUUGGCUCAAUGUUGAUGCUUCUGGUUUUUCUGGUGUAAUGGGUUUUAGUGGAAGUGGAAUUAAGAUAAGGCGUGGCUAUUCCACAUCUCACUCACCAAAACCUACCCAGGAUGAAUUACGUCAGCAAAAGGAGGAGGAAAUGGAUGAUUACUGUUCACAGGUACCUGUUCAACACUUAGUUUUUAUGAUUCAUGGUAUUGGUCAAAGAUUGGAGAAGUCUAAUUUGGUUGAUGAUGUUACUAAUUUUCGCCAUGUCACAUCAAGUCUUGCUGAACAUCACCUUACUUCACACCAACGUGGCACUCAGAGAGUCCUUUUCAUCCCAUGCCAGUGGAGAAAGGGUUUGAAGCUUAGUGGUGAAGCUGCAGUUGACAAAAUUACUUUAGAUGGAGUUCGAGGUUUGCGUGUCACGUUGAGUGCAACUGUUCAUGAUGUCUUAUACUACAUGAGCCCCAUUUAUUGUCAGGAUAUUAUUGACUCGGUAUCCAUCCAAUUAAAUCGGUUAUACUUGAAGUUUUUGAAGAGGAAUCCAGGCUAUGAUGGAAAGGUUUCAAUAUAUGGGCAUUCGUUGGGAAGUGUCCUUUCCUAUGAUAUUCUCUGUCAUCAGGAGAAUUUAUCCUCCCCAUUUCCAAUGGAUUGGAUGUACAAAGAACAUGCUAGAAAUGAAGAAUCAUCUCCUGAUGUGAACAACCAGUCUUCUCUGUGUGACUCUUUGACAAAGCUGGAGGAUAAAGAUUUCACGGUUGUUAAUGAAACUGAGGACAGGGUGGAUCACUUUGAGGACAAGAUUACUUCACAAACAGAUUUAGAUGCUGAAAACGAGGAAGGAGAUGCUGAAGAUUCCUCAAUAAUUGUGGGUCCUAUCACUUCAGAUUUAGAUGAACUUACUGCAAAGGCUUUGGACUCCAAGCAACCAGGUGGUGAGAAAGACGUUGAUGAAUUACUUUGUGAUUCUCGUGACAUACUUUCUCAGAAGAGGGAUGCCUUGAGUGAAACUACGAACAUGGAUUCUGGCAUCCAGAUUGAGGGUUUGGAGAAAAUGACUGAGGACAUGUGUGAGGAUGAAGGCAAUAAAAACAAAGCAAUCAAAUUGCUGAAGAAAGAGAUUGAUUCGUUAAAGACCAAAAUAGUGGAAUUGGAAAAGCGAUGUGGUGGUGGAGAUACAAGGUUGCAUCAAGGAACUAAGGAGGAUCUUACAACUAUUCAAGAGCAACACAUAGAUGAGAAGCUGCCAUCUGGCCAAGAUGAUGCACCAAUGAAUUACACCCCAUAUAUUAAGUACACGAAGCUUGAAUUUAAGGUUGACACAUUCUUUGCAGUUGGAUCGCCUCUUGGAGUAUUCCUCGCCCUUCGUAAUAUUCGUAUUGGCAUUGGAAAAGGAAAGGAAUAUUGGGAAGAAGAAAAUAUAAGUGAAGAGAUGCCAGCAUGUCGGCAAAUGUUUAAUAUUUUUCACCCGUUUGAUCCUGUGGCAUACAGAAUAGAACCACUUGUCUGCAAAGAAUACACCAAUAAACGCCCUGUUCUUAUACCUUACCACAAGGGCGGAAGGCGGUUGCAUAUUGGAUUCCAGGAAUUUACUGAAGAUUUGGCAACUCGUUCUCAUGCAAUCAUGGAUCAUCUACACUCCAUAAGGGUCAAAGUACUCACAGUUUGCCAAUCCAGAAGCAUGGAUAGACUAGAAGAAGAGGGAGAGGAUUCCCAAGAAAAAGAGGGGAGAUCAUAUGGUUCUCUUAUGAUUCAGAGAUUAACUGGUAGUGAAGAAGGACGGAUUGAUCACAUGCUUCAAGAUAAAACAUUUGAGCAUCCAUACUUACAAGCCCUUGGAGCACAUACAAACUAUUGGAGGGAUCAUGAUACCGCACUUUUCAUAUUAAAACACUUGUAUCGAGAUAUACCUGAAGACCCCAACUCACCUGCGGAAUCUAGUGGGGGCAACUCAAAAGAAGAAAGUGGUUCCACAGGUUGGUCUGAUCAAAGAGAGACUGUUGAUGAAGAACUUCCAUUAACAUUCUCUGACACAGUUAUGGUUAGAAAUUUUUCAAGAAAAGCCAAGAAGAUUUGGAAGAAGCGCUGAUGAUAGCAGCAGUAUUCGAAUUCUUGCUGCACGCCUUUAGAUGCAUCAUGCAAGUGCAAUUGAUGACAAUGGAAGCAAUUUUUGUUAUUAUCAUAUCACUGCAUUCUGGGCCAAUUAUCUCAUAUUUUUAACAUUGCAGAAAGUCCUGAAAUUUAUGAUUGUGUCAUGCUGCGAUGGGAAUGCUAGUCAAAGUUACAAUGAAAAGUAUAUGCCAGUCCACACCAGGGUUCACCCUUGAAAUGUUGAUUGAGAAUGAGGGGAGUGGGUUAGUUGUGCUAUGUAGCAGAGUAGUAGUUUGUUAAAUGGAAGUAUACUUGAAACUAAUCCCUAUGGGAUUUAGGUGAAAUCAAAUGGACAUAUACAAAAAGUGUAUAGUGUUGUUCAAAAAAACAUGUAGACAGUGACACACAAUAGAAUGAUAUAGAAAGGUGUUAAUGGAACUAUCUCUCUCUCUCUCUCUCUCUUUGGGUGAUGAGAAUUGCAAAAGAUGGUGUAAAUUUGUAGCUUUAUUGUAUAAAAUUACUCCUUUUGUGGUGAUCAAAUGGAAAACUGUUGUGGUGUGUAACUUUAAAAAUCAA